CAAGCAUUGGUCUCAGCAGAUUGAAGAGAGCACCACAGUGGUCACCACUCAGUCCGCUGAGGUUGGAGCUGC
MicroRNA precursor from Pan troglodytes (chimpanzee), 72 nucleotides. It matches the Rfam family "mir-622 microRNA precursor family". NCBI's taxonomy places the organism in Eukaryota, Metazoa, Chordata, Mammalia, Primates, Hominidae. The record is from Rfam.